RNAcentral lists this long non-coding RNA (200 nucleotides) under Nicotiana benthamiana. RNAcentral's name for it is "long non-coding RNA (NBEN_LNC017830)". The record is from RNAcentral. Lineage: Eukaryota; Viridiplantae; Streptophyta; Magnoliopsida; Solanales; Solanaceae.
ACCUCUUGAAUUGAAAAUUUGUUCAUUCUAAGCUCGUGUGUCUCCAAAGAAGCCAUUAGUUCAUGAAAACUUAAAGAGGAUAAAUCUUUAGACUCUUCAAUCGCAACAACAACAUGAUCCCAUUUUGCAGGAAGACUACGUAAUAUUUUUUCAACAAUUUUCUUCUCUUUAAUUUCAUCUCCAUAACUUUUAAUUUGAUU